AGGGAAAGUACAGAAGCAGCUUCUUAAUUUGGAUCCAGCAAACAAAAGGAAACAUCAAAUCUGACCUCGCUGCUGGAGUGUUAAUGGCUUUCUCCCAUCGCGCCCCCUGCCACUUAGCAUCUUUUGUGCCCCACCCUGGGAAGCUUCCCGGCAGAAGUGUGCAUUAGCAGAACUCUACAGUUACAAAAUGCUGCUUACUACAGACAAGGGAAAAAAAACCUUCAGUGAUUAAAUGUUCUUUGGACAAACACAUCCAUAGCUAUAAAAGUACCAUUUUUAUUUCAGGCAAGCCUCUCAGUGAUGUCCCUGCUGUGGCCACCAGCACAAAGGAGUGUUUUACCUAGAACGUCAGUGAAACCCUUCAAAGAAGAUCCAGGGUGGCCUAGAACAAAAGAGGAAGAUAUUUGCUGACAAGGCUUAAAAAUAGAAGGAUGACUGUUUUUUGUAUUGUGAUCAAGGUCAACAGCAAGGAAGAAAUUUACAUGAGUGCAUCAUAAAUGAAGCUAGCUUGAAACCAUGAGGGGCCAGCUGAGGGCAAAGCUGCCACAUAGAAGAUGGCAGAGCAGAAGGAUGGAAAGAACUGGAACUUUUGAUGACCCUGUGGAGCCUCUGAAGCAACCAAGGCUGCUGUGACUACUGCUUUUCUGGGUAUUGGUGAAGGAGGGGUGAGUGGGACACACCAAGUCCCUGCUCUCAGCAAGUUUCUAGAACAGCAAGAAGACAGAAGGAACAUAUGAUGUGAAUUUUAAAUGACCAAGAUCGGCGCAUAAAACACGUAAGCAUGAUAGAACACUAUGAUUUUGAAGUCAUAUUCUCCAUUUCUUCAGGAGCACAGCAGGUAAGAGAAAAUUUUCUUUUGAUCUCUCUCCUUCCCCACCCCCCCCUUAUUCUGUUGACCUUGUGACUCUACCAUCAAAGCUAAGUAUUGGUCUCAACUGUAACUACUUACUGGCAUCAUGGGGUACUUCACAGUGCACUUUAAUGUGAUGUUAAAAUUUUAAUAUGAGGUAGAAAUGAGAGCCAACUUUUCUUGCCAAUGUCAGUAAGCUAAAGAAUUAAUUGCAACAUCAGGGGGAAAGAUAAAAAGAAAACACCCCAGGCUUACCAAUAUUACUGAGUCACCAUUUUUGCUGACAGAAGUGGGUAUUGGUUCCUGUCAACCCUUUAGAAUGAGCACCUCAAAGUAUUAUUUUAUUCUCCAGGCUUUGACUUUAUUGAAUUAAUAGCAUAAAAUGAAUCCCUCCUUUCCCUUCACCUCCCAUAUUCCAGUGAUUAAAACACAAAACCAUGUUUCCUUAGGACCUAGGUGAAUCUUAAGUGCUAUAAAUACGACCUCUAAACACAAGGGAGAUUAUUCAAUAAUGACACUAGUUGCUCUUGGCUUUGGCUGGGGCACCUGGAGCCUCCAUGGCUCUGGUUAGCAAUUCUCUUGGUCUCUGCAGAAACCACUCAUAUUAUGCCUUGAAUUCUAAUCCCUUUAUUAAUGUCAUAAAAAAUUAAAAUGAGGAUAAAUGUCCUGUUAAGGGCUACAGUUUAAGGAGAAGGCAGGCAAUCCAGACUGGGACCAUUUGAAGGGGACACUGGUUGUAAUCAUAACUGAGAAGUAUAUUGACAUAAUGGAAAGAGCAAGUCGUUGGGGUCAGAGUCCUGGCCUCUCUGCUUAACAGCUGUUUGCCUCUGAGUGAGUCAUCUAACUUCCCUGAGCCCCAAUUUUCCUGAGGGUAAAACAGAGAUAGUCCCUCCUACUUUGUGAGAUUGUUUAUAUAUUGAGAUAAUAUGUGUAAAAUCAUUAGCAUAAUUCUUUGAAUAUACUAGUUACUCAAAAAUUGGAAGCUAUUAAUAAACUCUCACUUUAAAAUAUUCAAAAUAUUCUUUUCAAUAGACUUGAGAGGGCCCCUAUGUACCAUUGUUCAGGGCAUCUUAAUGUACUGAUCAUAUGCUGUACAACUUUGGAGGCAUAGUGCGUGUCAAGUCCAGAAUCUCAUUCCCAUUUUGCAAAUGUAGUAAAUAAACUUUUAAGGGAGUAAAAGAAAUGCCCCAAAUUGCAUAAGUAGUAAGUGGCAGAACUAGAUCUUAAACUUCAGCCAUCUAUUUUCAAAACCAUUGUUCUAUUUACUAUUUACCCAUGAAUCCAAAGGUAUUUAAUUCCUUGAAGGCAUUGCUCUGGGAACUGGAGACACAGCAGUGAAAAAAACUGUCAUAAAUAAAUAAUAACCCCCAUGGAGCUUUCAUUUUAGUAGCAGGACGUAGAUGGCAAGUGAAAAAAAAUAUAUAUAUAUUACAUCAGAAAAUGAAAAGAAUUUUGGAAAACAGUAAAAUAGGGAAUGGGGUAGAGUGUGCUGGGGAAAAAGGAGGGCACCUUUGUCGAUGAGAUGGCAUUUGAGCAAGAAGGAAGGAUGUAAGGUGGAGGUGGGGGGCAGCAGGUUGACCUCUGGAAUCUGAGAAAAGAACAUUCUAGGGAGUGGAAAUAGCCAGUGCAAAGGCCCUAUGUUUGGGUAAGAGUAAAAAGUCCAGUGUAGCUGGAGCACGCUCAGCAAGGGGAACCCCAAAGAGAUGAAGUCAGGUGAGGGCGUGUGUGCAAUGACAGAGGCAGAACAGCCAGGUUAUAUUGGGCCUUGUCUGCUGUCCUAGAGACUGGCUUUUAUUCAGAGUGAAACAGAAGCCACUGAAAUGUGUUGAACAAAAGCAUGAGGUUCUGACUCAGUUUCUGAUAGGUCGUUUUUGCUGCUUGAUUGUGAACAGUGUGUGAAGCAGGAAUAGGAGCACAAGGGUGCUUAGGAGGCUUCUGUUACUGUAGUCGAGGCAGGAGGGGAUGAAGGCUCAGGGGUGGUCAUGCGGGUAGAGAGAAACAGAAUCUGGAAUAUAUUCUGAAGGUAGAACCAACAUGUUUAUUAUUAAAAGAUUGGAAUGUGGGGUAUGAGAAAAAGGGGAAAGUCAAAACGACACCAAAGUUCUUGGUCUGAACAACUAGACGGGCAGAUUUGCCAUUUACUGAGGUGUCAAAAAUUUAGAUGGGGCACGUGGGUGGCUCAGUAGGUUAAAUGUUCAACUUCAGUUUAGGUCAUGAUCUCACAGUCUGUGGGUUCAAGCUCCAUGUUGGGCUCUGUGCUGACAGCUCAGAGCCUAGAUUCUGCUUCUGAUUCUGUGUCUCCCUCUUUCUAUGCCCCUAUCCCACCCCUGUCUCUCAAAAAUAAAUAAGCAUUAAAUUUUUUUUUAAUUUAGAAAAGCAGAUUUUGAGGAUAAAUUAGCGAUUUGGCAUCAAAAGAAAAUAUAAGCACUAAGACUAUUUCUCAGAAGAAUUCAAAGACCACUAUAACCUUCUGAAAAAGCUAUAAAAUUCUCUAAUAUAAUAAUCACUUAUUUUCUAAUAAAGAUACUGAUGUAAUAAUCUUUCCCAUAAAUCACAUGUGACCUUAAUUUAAUAACCAAAUAUUUCUUUUGCUGAAAAGUUUCAGAUUUUCAGGCAUUUCAAAGAUCAUUUGAUGAAAUUCAUCACACUGAAUGUCUUAUAAUGUUAUUUAUUUUAAUAAAAAAUCAUGUAUAUUUAAAAUACAGGCAGAAUACAAAAGUAUAGCCAUGUGAAAUGAAGACUAAAUCAAACAAUAAAUACACGUAAUGAUCCUUCUAAAUUGUUGAGUGCUAUCCAGUUAUGGAUAGGCAAGUUAUUUUAUUUCAUAGAAGAAAAAAAAUGAGGCUAUAUCUGUAACUCCCUUACCAUUUCGUAAGUAACCAUAGAAGCUUGAAAUAUUCGAAAUCUCAUUCCCGGGAAUUCUUGCCUUGUUGUGCACAGAUUCCAUUUUGAAAGACCUGUGGGGGAAAAAACAAAGGAUAUUAUUAAAAAUGUAUGAAAAGUAUUUUAGAAAUCAAUUGAAGACUGCUUCAAAAAAUUCAGGAACUGAACACAGAUUAUUUUUAGCAAUGUUGUCCACAUUACUGUCUUUGGUAAAUCUUUAUUUCCCCACUUUGUUCCUACCCGGGACCUUAAUCCCUGUUGAAUUGUGAACCUUAGUUUAUACCAGAAUUAUCUUGUGACUCACUUUUGUAGGAGUCCCACUAUGUUAAGUCCUGUAAUUUGUGGCUAAUGCAAUGAAUUUUUCAAUCCUAAAAUGUUGAUAUCUGCCAAAGAGUUCUCCCCAGGUACAAUAAGGACCUGAUGGAGGCAGACUUUACACUAGUGCCAGUGAUUUAAUCAUAGGAACUUUGAGAUACUCUUCAGGAAUACUCUUAUAGGCAGAUGGCUUUUUCCUUAAAAUGCAUUUACGUCAUGUACCCAGUUAAGUACACCAGGAUUUUCUCAACCUUCACAACCACAGUGAAAUGUUAGCGAAACGGCCAAGUCUGUUGGAAGGAUUUGGUGUGACAAAUCCAAUACACGUUAUUUUGAUUUCCUAAAAAAUGACAUACAGUCCCUGACAGCAGAUCAAAGUUGAAGUGACUAUUUUACGGAGGCAGUCUCUAAUCCUGACACCUCUACUCAAUGAUUUUUUUCUUAAUGAAGAAUUUUGUAAAGAAUGAACUAAUGUAUGACAACAAUUUUAAGGCCAUUUAGUGGAAAGCAUGCUGAAAGCCCUUAAUCUCCCUUUAGGACACCAGACACAUCCUCUACAUUCUGUACUUCUUAUCAGGAGCAAACUCAGAAUGAAAACUUCCAGCAAACAGUAACUCAUCAACUUAGUGGGGUCAUGAUUAGGCAAAUAUAAUUUGUUAGCAGCCUAGUUUUUUAAGAAUUUGAAGAAAUCUUAGUAGUCACCUAUCCCAUCCACUUCAUAUCCUACAUGAGGAAAGCCAGGCCCAGAGGGGCUAAGUGACUUGUCCAAAGCGACAUGGCUAGUUAAACAACAAAACCAGGAUUUAUUCCCAGGUUUUCUGGCUUCAGGCUGACGGGAUUUUUGUUAACCAUAUUUAAGUGCUUUGUAAUUUUCUUAGUACUAGAAGGGAAAAUAAAAGAAGCCUAUUUGAAAUUUAAAUGUGUGUGUGUAUAUAUAACAUAUUUAUAUUUUAUAUUUAUAAACAGAAAAAAAGAAAAGAGGAAAAUUAAGUAUGCAAAUCACAGAAAUUUACCAGUCUGUUUCCUCCCUCUUAAGGCCACAGAACAGAAAAUGGAAAAUGCUGUAGUAUAGAAUCAUUAUAAUGGAAGGAAGCAUAACACUGAAUCCUAUGUAAUCCACAUAGACUUGCUACCCAACUUGCUAGGUCUACUGAGGACAGAAACUGUGCCUAUUAUAUAGUGCCUGGCACAGAUACAUGUUGAACUGAGCUCCUAUCACAUAACAGAAAUGUCAAGGACCAUUUACCACCAUGUAGUAGGCACUUCAGACAAUGUCUCUUCUGUGAAGGCUUUCUGUUGGUUUCAUCUCACACUAAUUAUUCUCUUUAGUCUGGCCACCAAAAUACUUAUCUAUACUACAAAUAUUUUUCUUCAUUCCUUUGCCCUACUUCAGUGUUUCUAUUUAUUUCAUGUGUAUUAUUUUUAUCAUUUGAAUUAGUUCCUACCCAAAUGAGACAUUUAUUUAUACUUCCUCUGUAGGCUAGUGCUAAGGAUAUAUUCAGUAAGCACCUGAAUUCAAUCCUCUAACAUCAUACAAUGAAAAGCUAUACUAAUUUUAGCAGUGGAAGAAGGUAAACACACAGAGUUAAGUUUAGUAAUUAAUGCGGCUCUGGAAUUAGAAUGGAGCUCUGCUUUGAAUCAGCCUCUAAGGAGGUGAAUUUGUCUUGAAGAUAAAUUCUCAAGACUCAAUGCCCUCAUCUUUACAAGGAGCAAAUUAAUAAUACCUAUAUGCCAGCUUUGCAUAUUAAAUGAAAUCAUGUAAGUGCUUACAUGGUCACUAAUAGAUAAUAAACAUGCAAAAAACAAUAGCUAUUGUUACUAAACUGUACUUUUUGUAAAUGAAUUACUGAUAGCUUCCUCUAGUUUAAUACACUAAAGUAUAAAUUAAAUGGUGGGAUUUCAGGUAUGAAAUUUUAAAACUUUUUCUGAUGAUAUAUGAAAUACAUUAUUAUUGGCAUUUACUUAAAUGUUCUUUGUUCAUAUUUAAUUCACAGCAAGUAAAAUGGAUUUCAACGUGUGUAUGAAUCAAUCUAUCUAUCAUCCACCUUUCUAUCUACCUAUCUAUUAUUUCAUUCAUCAUCCAACACUAUGAUUUUCCUGGCACAUAUUAUGAAAGCAAUAUAUAUUUGUUGAAUGAAUAAAUUUUAAAAUAUAUAGAUUUAUUGCCCAGAUUAUCCUCUAAUCUCAAUGAAUUAAUAGCAAGAUUUUUCUUAAAUGUGUUUUAAGCUAAAGGAGUUGCUGCAUAUUUAGUCUUCACUUAGGAGACUAAAAGAAAGGAGGAUGGAAAGGAGGGCGGGAGGUUAGAGAGAUGAAUGAAUACAGCAAAUAAUGAUAAUUUUUAAUGUCCCAAAUAACAAUAUUCAAAAUCUUUAUGCAUGUCUUACCUGUCAAUUCCACAUGCCAACUCUAAAGGUGUGUUAACUAACUUAUUAACUGCAAAUAGUCUGUUCAAUAAAUAAACUAUAGUGUUUAGGGUGUUUGACUCUUGCGAAGAAUCACAAUUAUUUUCCAGUCCUCUUGGCAUCCCAACUUGGUUUGGAAGAGUGGACGUGUAUUUAUUUGACAAGUCCAAAACUUUUUUGGAAAAUAAAUUUACUUUUGAAUAGUCUUUUUUCAUUUCGGCAUUGCAUAAAUCCCAACCCGGCAGCAUCAAUGAGAAGUGAUCCUCAUUUGAGGCAAGUCCUAAAGAAACAGAACCCUGAAGCUUUAAAAUAUCUAGAUGCUUAAUGCACAGAUUAUCAAAUUCUUUAUCUACUCCCCACGGCAAAAAGCAAGAGAGGAACAAUUUAGCUGUGUCUAUCGUGACGUUGGCAUCCACUUUUCUUGAUGGCUUGGGGUGCAUCUUUUUGGAGUUCUUUAUUUUCUUCUGCCUUUUAAUGCCUUCAUUAUCUCCUAAGGAUUUGGCAGUAUUCUCUCCCUGGGCCUGGUUCUCACUGACAGGCUUGGCUUGUGCCUCUGCUGAGAGAGAACCAGAGGCAGUUUUAUUUCUUUUCAGAGUCAGUGUUUUCUUCUCAACUGUGCUUUUGGCUCUUCUCAGGAUCUCACUACCAUAGAAUGAAUUGGAAGGGUCAACGUCACAGACUGGAGUUGGCAGCAAAAGUUCAACAAGGUUUUCCAGAUCAAAUAGAAGGAUAUGAAAGCCAAUGUCACUCCAUCUUGUCUUCACAGGCAAGACAUUAAAAGGUCCUGAGAAAGGCUUGACAUCAGCAACCUAAAGGAGAUUUAAAAAAAUAUAUGUGUGUCAAAGUUCUUAUUUUUAAGUGAUUUUAUUAAAGUGUCUAUGAUAUUAAAAUGGCAUAAAAAGAAAGUAUUAAGUAGCAGUACAACUAAAGGCAAGUCAUUUGAAUUUUUUUUUGUCUUAGCUCUAAACAUUCCCCUCUAAAUUAAACAUUCUACAUUCUAAUAGUUCAUAAAAAGUUAUUUUUUCUUCCUAAGUCUUUUAUUUUUCCUCUUAAAAAAUGUGAAUUAGGCCUAUGGAGUAAGAUGGCAUCAGAUUUAUGUCCUCUAAUAUAUGAUUUCAUGUUUUCAUAUCAGCAUAGCCAUGAAUAUACAACAGGGAAAAAGUGGGUUUGAAAAUUAAGGAGAAGAAUAGAACAUCUGCAAGAAUUUAGGAAGUCUUGACAAGAAUUUUCUCACCAAAUUUGUUUAAAAUUUUAAAUAUUUGGAAGUAACCUAAAUGUUAACCAAUAUCAUAUAACUAUUUUUUUGUAAGCUUUGCCUAACAAACUUGCAUUUAUUAUUUCUCUGCCUAAAAUGAUUUUGCCCAAAAUAUUGGCAUGGUGGGCUCUCAUACUUCAGUUAUGUUUCUGUUCAUUAAGAGGCCUUCCUCUUAAUGGCCCUCUCCCCUCACACCCAUUAGUCUCCAUCCUCUUCCUUGCUUUUUUUCUUCCUAGUACCUCUGGUUACCUUGUAUAACAUAAAAUAUUACUUGUUUACUGUAUAUUUUCCCCAGUAGCAAUCAGACUGCACCUUUGCAGGAAUUCUGUGCAUUGUUUUGCCCCCAAGGCCUAUAAAAUGAUGCUGCUAUAUAGUUACUAAGGAACUCAGUCAGUAUGUGUUGACUGAAUGAUUAACGUAUGUAUGCAAUGGAAUACCAUUAAAAUAUUUUAAAUGUUUAAAAAUUUUUAUUUUAGAGAGAGAGAGAGAGAGAAAACAAAUGGAGAGAGGGGAAGAGAGAGAGAGAAAGAGAGAGAGAGAGUAUCAAGUAGGCUCUGCACUGAGCAGGGAGCCCAAAGUGGGGCUCCGUCUCACUACUGUGAGAUCAUGACCUGAAAUCAAGAGUCGGAUGCUUAACUGACUGAUCCACCCAAGUGCCUCAACAUUAAAAUAUUUUAAAAUGAUGAUGUAAAACUUUAUUUAUUGAGGAAAAAAUGUGAUGUGUGCUCUGUUAAGCAGAAAAAAUAAUCCUCCUUUUGUAA
Long non-coding RNA from Acinonyx jubatus (cheetah), 8466 nucleotides. RefSeq lists it as uncharacterized. Lineage: Eukaryota; Metazoa; Chordata; Mammalia; Carnivora; Felidae. The record is from RefSeq and is a predicted model, not a curated record. The transcript has 5 exons.